RNAcentral lists this non-coding RNA (29 nucleotides) under Rattus norvegicus (Norway rat). Lineage: Eukaryota; Metazoa; Chordata; Mammalia; Rodentia; Muridae. The record is from RNAcentral.
UCUGAUGUCACUUAUUCCAACAAGGGGGA